UGGUGACACCAAAGAAGCCACAGGCAGCCGACCUGGACUGGAAUCUCUGAAAGAGAUGCCACAGGAGAUUCCAGGGCGUAAGAGAACAGCCCUCCCAAGAGCAGAAGCAUGUUGGAAAUUCUGGACAAGCUGUAUACAGGAUAAUCUCCCGUCCACCUCUCCCCCCUUCUCUGAACAUUAUACACAGAAGUGGCCAGUCUGGACGUUAAAAGAAGACAAGAAAGGAAGAAGGACAAAGAACAGAAUGAGUUAACUGGAAACAAAGAAUUAGCUAGCAAGCUCAGGCUAUAGAUAAGACACUGACUCCAUUCAAGGACACUGCUCACAGUUAAGACUUGGCUAAUAACUAGGAAAAGGAGGGCUUGAAUUUGCCCACGCAGCUAUGAGAUCUGAAAAAAACACUGCCAGGCGCUAAUGAAAUGUGCUAAGUUUCUUUUCUCAAAGGUAAAGAAGCGCUACCCAAAGAACCUAGCAGCCCUGCGACUCCUUGGAACCAGGAGACGGGAUUGAUGUAAAGGUCCGCCAACAAAAGUCUGCUCUGGCUCCACCCUGGAAAGGCCCUUAUUAAGUCCCAGUGACUACCAACAUCGCUGUAAAAUGUCAAAGACUGACUGCUUGGACCCAAGAUUCUCACUGCAAAAAGACUCCUCCACAUUGGGAAAAUUCUCCUACUGAUGAUUAGCCUAUUUCACCUUCUAGCUCCACUGUGCCUUCUGGACAGUAGGGAAAAAGUACAAGGAUGCUGCACCAUGACUGUUUUGGGAAAGAAGAAGGAACACUCGCUCCACUGAAAUUGCCAAAGUCCAGGAAUUCCUGACUAGAAAGGACAUUAAGAACUGACCCUGGUGAAGAAACAAAGAAUUAUACACUGGCGGGAGGACAUUUAUGGGAACCAUGCUUGGGAAUGUGGUAUUAAUUGGAUUGUGGGGUUUAUUCUACA
Gopherus flavomarginatus (Mexican gopher tortoise) is the source of this 940-nucleotide long non-coding RNA. RefSeq lists it as uncharacterized. Lineage: Eukaryota; Metazoa; Chordata; Testudines; Testudinidae. The transcript is spliced from 3 exons. The record is from RefSeq and is a predicted model, not a curated record.